GGAUAUGAGGGUGAUCUGGCAGUGACAUCUGUCCCCCACUCAUCAGAUCAACAGGGUGGAUCUGACUGAUCUGCUGGUGACUAGGCCAGUAUCCCCUUCCUCCCUCACAGCUCUGUUUGCAUCCCUCCCUCACUUGGACAGUGAGAACAACCUUCCCAGACAGAGGAAGGUCGUCCUCAGUCAAGGGUAUAUGAUUCGCUGGGCUCCCCUGCUAGAACCACCAAACAAAUUCUCAAAAUAAAAAAAUUUAAAAAGGGCUGGGCAUGUAGUAUGAAGGCCCUGGGUUCAAUCCCUAGUACUAGG
Non-coding RNA from Heterocephalus glaber (naked mole-rat), 303 nucleotides. NCBI's taxonomy places the organism in Eukaryota, Metazoa, Chordata, Mammalia, Rodentia, Bathyergidae. The record is from Rfam.